CCUACGGGAGGCAGCAGUGAGGAAUAUUGGUCAAUGGGCGCUAGCCUGAACCAGCCAAGUAGCGUGAAGGAUGACUGCCCUAUGGGUUGUAAACUUCUUUUAUAUGGGAAUAAAGUGCAGUAUGUAUACUGCUUCGCAUGUACCCUAUGAAUAAGGAUCGGCUAACUCCGUGCCAGCAGCCGCGGUAAUACGGGGGAUGCAAGCGUUAUCCGGAUUUAUUGGGUUUAAAGGGUGCGUAGGCUGUGAGGUAAGUCAGCGGUGAAAUGCCCCCGCUCAACGGGGUGAAGUGCCAUUGAUACUGGCUUGCUGGAAUGCGGAUGGCGUGGGAGGAAUGUGUGGUGUAGCGGUGAAAUGCAUAGAUAUCACACAGAACACCGAUUGCGAAGGCAUCUCACGAAUCCGCGAUUGACGCUGAUGCACGAAAGCGUGGGUAUCAAACAGGAUUAGAUACCCGGGUAGUC
Molecule: ribosomal RNA, 461 nt
Filed under: uncultured bacterium
Lineage: Bacteria
Description: partial 16S ribosomal RNA
Rfam family: Bacterial small subunit ribosomal RNA
Source: RNAcentral